Molecule: non-coding RNA, 166 nt
Organism: Aegilops tauschii subsp. strangulata
Lineage: Eukaryota; Viridiplantae; Streptophyta; Magnoliopsida; Poales; Poaceae
Source: RefSeq, a predicted model, not a curated record
GGUGAACAUCAACAAGAAGAGGACGUAGCUACAGGUCAGGCGAGUGGUAAAAAUGUUGAAGAAUACAGUGCAACCUUUGAUACUGAAAAAGAUGAAGCUAUUUGCGCAACAGAACCCGCCCCUACGAGCGAGACAAAUCUGAAAGAAUAUAAUCCAAGCAUCUUAA